GAAAUGCGAUACGCAAUGCGAAUUGCAGAAUUCCGCGAGUCAUCAGAUCUUUGAACGCAGCCCGCGCCGGAGAGAUAUCUCUCUGGCAUGUUUGUUUCAGUGUGUUUGAUUUACAUCACAAAACUCAAUGCGAUUGAAGGUCGUAUUUUUUUAAAAUAUGAAUUUCUCUCGUUAAAUUGGCGCGUACAUGCGAAGAGUCCAAAAUAAAACGUGCUUUCUCGCAUCCAUCGACGAAGCGGUCACUGUUCAUCAGUGAUUUCGUCUGGAUCUUUUGUCACUUUUUUUAAUUAAAAGGUGGGCGAGUUCGCGCACUAAGGACUCAUUUACUAAAAAUCGCAAACGCAUAAAAAUUAAAUCAUCUUCAUUUUGCACCUGAAAUCAAGCAAGACCACCCGCUGAA
RNAcentral lists this unclassified non-coding RNA (400 nucleotides) under uncultured fungus. Its description in RNAcentral is "sequence contains ITS1". The stretch from base 1 to 105 matches the Rfam family "5.8S ribosomal RNA", at positions 50 to 154 of the family's 154-position model. Lineage: Eukaryota; Fungi. The record is from RNAcentral.